RNAcentral lists this ribosomal RNA (253 nucleotides) under uncultured Ferroplasma sp. Its description in RNAcentral is "partial 16S ribosomal RNA". It matches the Rfam family "Archaeal small subunit ribosomal RNA", at positions 474 to 727 of the family's 1478-position model. Lineage: Archaea; Methanobacteriati; Thermoplasmatota; Thermoplasmata; Thermoplasmatales; Ferroplasmaceae. The record is from RNAcentral.
CACCCGCAGCACGAGUAGUGGUCACUUUUAUUGAGCCUAAAGCGUUCGUAGCCGGUUUUGUAAAUCUUCAGAUAAAGCCUGAAGCUUAACUCCAGAAAGUCUGAAGAGACUGCAAGACUUGAGAUCGGGUGAGGUUAAACGUACUUUCAGGGUAGGGGUAAAAUCCUGUAAUCCCGGAAGGACGACCAGUGGCGAAAGCGUUUAACUAGAACGAAUCUGACGGUAAGGAACGAAGGCUAGGGUAGCAAACCGG